RNAcentral lists this ribosomal RNA (468 nucleotides) under uncultured bacterium. RNAcentral's name for it is "partial 16S ribosomal RNA". It matches the Rfam family "Bacterial small subunit ribosomal RNA", at positions 28 to 507 of the family's 1533-position model. The record is from RNAcentral.
GACGAACGCUGGCGGCGUGCUUAACACAUGCAAGUCGAACGGAAAGGCCCUGCUUUUGUGGGGUGCUCGAGUGGCGAACGGGUGAGUAACACGUGAGUAACCUGCCCUUGACUUUGGGAUAACUUCAGGAAACUGGGGCUAAUACCGGAUAGGAGCUCCUGCUGCAUGGUGGGGGUUGGAAAGUUUCGGCGGUUGGGGAUGGACUCGCGGCUUAUCAGCUUGAUGGUGGGGUAGUGGCUUACCAAGGCUUUGACGGGUAGCCGGCCUGAGAGGGUGACCGGCCACAUUGGGACUGAGAGACGGCCCAGACUCCUACGGGAGGCAGCAGUGGGGAAUAUUGCACAAUGGGCGGGAGCCUGAUGCAGCAACGCCGCGUUCGGGAUGACGGUCUUCGGGUUGUAAACCGCUUUCGCCUGUGACGAAGCGUUAGUGACGGUAAUGGGUAAAGAAGCACCGGCUAACUACGUG